Molecule: ribosomal RNA, 253 nt
Filed under: uncultured bacterium
Lineage: Bacteria
Description: partial 16S ribosomal RNA
Rfam family: Bacterial small subunit ribosomal RNA
Source: RNAcentral
UACGUAGGGGGCAAGCGUUGUCCGGAAUUAUUGGGCGUAAAGAGCGCGUAGGCGGUCCGAUAAGUCGGCUGUGAAAGUCCAGGGCUCAACCCUGGAAAGCCGGCCGAUACUGUCGGACUAGAGUCCGGAAGAGGCAAGUGGAAUUCCCGGUGUAGCGGUGAAAUGCGCAGAUAUCGGGAGGAACACCAAUGGCGAAGGCAGCUUGCUGGGACGGUACUGACGCUGAGGCGCGAAAGCCAGGGGAGCAAACGGG